Molecule: ribosomal RNA, 497 nt
Filed under: uncultured bacterium
Lineage: Bacteria
Description: partial 16S ribosomal RNA
Rfam family: Bacterial small subunit ribosomal RNA
Source: RNAcentral
GACGAACGCUGGCGGCGUGCCUAAUACAUGCAAGUAGAACGCUGAAGAGCGGAGCUUGCUCUUCUUUGAUGAGUUGCGAACGGGUGAGUAACGCGUAGGUAACCUGCCUUAUAGCGGGGGAUAACUAUUGGAAACGAUAGCUAAUACCGCAUAACAAUCGAUGACACAUGUCAUUUAUUUGAAAGGGGCAAUUUCUCCACUACAAGAUGGACCUGCGUUGUAUUAGGUAGUAGGUGAGGUAAUGGCUCACCUAGGCGACGAUACAUAGCCGACCUGAGAGGAUGGUCAGCCAGCCUGGGACGGAGACACGGCCCAGACGCAUACGGGAGGCAGCAGGAGGGAAUCGUCGGCCAUGGGGGCAACCCUGACCGAGCAACGCCGCGUGAGUGAAGAAGGUUUUCGGAUCGUAAAGCUCGGUUGUAAGUCAAGAACGGGUGUGAGAGUGGAAAGUUCACACUGUGACGGUAGCUUACCAGAAAGGGACGGCUAACUACGUG